Molecule: ribosomal RNA, 425 nt
Filed under: uncultured bacterium
Lineage: Bacteria
Description: bacterial SSU rRNA
Rfam family: Bacterial small subunit ribosomal RNA
Source: RNAcentral
GUAGGGAAUAUUGGACAAUGGGCGAAAGCCUGAUCCAGCAAUGCCGCGUGAGUGAUGAAGGCCUUAGGGUUGUAAAGCUCUUUUACCCGGGAUGAUAAUGACAGUACCGGGAGAAUAAGCUCCGGCUAACUCCGUGCCAGCAGCCGCGGUAAUACGGAGGGAGCUAGCGUUGUUCGGAAUUACUGGGCGUAAAGCGCACGUAGGCGGCGAUUUAAGUCAGAGGUGAAAGCCCGGGGCUCAACCCCGGAAUAGCCUUUGAGACUGGAUUGCUUGAAUCCGGGAGAGGUGAGUGGAAUUCCGAGUGUAGAGGUGAAAUUCGUAGAUAUUCGGAAGAACACCAGUGGCGAAGGCGGCUCACUGGACCGGCAUUGACGCUGAGGUGCGAAAGCGUGGGGAGCAAACAGGAUUAGAAACCCUAGUAGUCC